CAACCUCAACUCAUAUGGGAUUACCCCCUGAAUUUAAGCAUAUUAAUUAGGGGAGGAAAAGAAACUAACCAGGAUUUUCUUAGUAGCGGCGAGCGAAAAGAAAUCAGUUCAGCACUAAGUCACUUUGUCUAUAUGGCAAAUGUGAGAUGCAGUGUAUGGAGCGUCAAUAUUCUAGUAUGAGAAAUUAACGAUUUAAGUCCUUCUUAAAUGAGGCCAUUUACCCAUAGAGGGUGCCAGGCCCGUAUAA
RNAcentral lists this ribosomal RNA (247 nucleotides) under Drosophila guanche. RNAcentral describes it as "LSU_rRNA_eukarya". It matches the Rfam family "Eukaryotic large subunit ribosomal RNA", at positions 1 to 228 of the family's 3401-position model. The record is from RNAcentral. Lineage: Eukaryota; Metazoa; Arthropoda; Insecta; Diptera; Drosophilidae.